UCUUUUAAUUGAAGGCUGGUAUGAAUGGUUGGACAAAUAUUAACUGUUUCAUAAAUAUUUUAAUUAAAAUUUUAUUUUUUAGUUAAAAAGCUAAAAUUUAUUUAAAAGACGAGAAGACCCUAUAAAUCUUUAUAAUUUAAUUAUUAAGAAUUUUUAGAAUUGUUUUGUUAUAAUAAUAAAAAUUAUUUUAUUGGGGUGAUAUUAAAAUUUAAUUAACUUUUAAUUUAUUAAUUCAUUAAUUUAUGUAUAAUUGAUCCAUUAUUAAUGAUUAAAAAAAUAAGUUACUUUAGGGAUAACAGCGUAAUUUUUUUGGUGAGUUCAUAUCAAUAAAAAAGAUUGC
This 340-nucleotide ribosomal RNA is filed under the name Dinera ferina. RNAcentral's name for it is "partial 16S ribosomal RNA". Lineage: Eukaryota; Metazoa; Arthropoda; Insecta; Diptera; Tachinidae. The record is from RNAcentral.